Molecule: ribosomal RNA, 166 nt
Filed under: Lonchocarpus acuminatus
Lineage: Eukaryota; Viridiplantae; Streptophyta; Magnoliopsida; Fabales; Fabaceae
Description: 5.8S ribosomal RNA
Rfam family: 5.8S ribosomal RNA
About the family: 5.8S ribosomal RNA (5.8S rRNA) is a component of the large subunit of the eukaryotic ribosome. It is transcribed by RNA polymerase I as part of the 45S precursor that also contains 18S and 28S rRNA.
Source: RNAcentral
CACAGAAUGACUCUCGGCAACGGAUAUCUUGGCUCUUGCAUCGAUGAAGAACGCAGCGAAAUGCGAUACUUGGUGUGAAUUGCAGAAUCCCGUGAACCAUCGAGUCUUUGAACGCAAGUUGCGCCCGAAGCCAUUAGGCCGAGGGCACGCCUGCCUGGGUGUCACA